Molecule: long non-coding RNA, 3560 nt
Organism: Manis javanica (Malayan pangolin)
Lineage: Eukaryota; Metazoa; Chordata; Mammalia; Pholidota; Manidae
Source: RefSeq, a predicted model, not a curated record
UUGGUAGUGAGGCAAGAUGGCGGCACCUCUGCCUCCACUUUCCCUGGAGGCUCCCACAGGAGAACCGUCCGGGCCUGGGUGUCCCUAGGAGGAGCUCUGAGGCACCUUAAGCCACAUCCUCAGACAAACAGCUUCAUUAUAAGAAGGGAACAAGCACAGCAGCAUGCCCUGUGUCCUGACGCACAGGCUGCUGCUCACAUAUGGCAACACGAUCCCCAGGCGACUACCAUAUGUAAGGACACAAGGUUUUAUGACUUACUGUCGGUGAGAUUUAUGGAGAUGAUAUAUGAUCAGCAAUUUUUCAUCUUCUCAUCUCAGGAGCAAACAUGGAGAGUCACAGACUCCUCACUGCAUGGUCGGGUGGGGCUAUGGGAUCCCAGCGCAGGGCCCCAGACAAAAUCGGGCGGGCCCAUGAUAAGGGCAGGAGCAAUGCAUUUGAUUAAAAUGGGCUACUCUGGAGCUAUUUUGCGGUAUGUUAAUGAGUGCUAUAUCAUAGACAUUUAUUAAAUUAGAUUUCAUAAAUGUCAGCCGUGUUUGCCCAGGAAAUGCACCAGCCUAAAUGUGGACCCAACCUGGAAUUAAUGUCCCCCUGCAGAGCACCCGCAUUCCUGCAGGGGCCGAGGUGCGCUGGGGACGUGAGGACGACGGGCCAUGCUCAGAUGUUGAAUAUUAGCGCUGGUCAAACACAGCAGUUCUGGCUACCGGCCGCCUCCCAGAGAAGGAGAUUUCGAGGAGGCCGAAAGGAAGGAAGCCAUGGAGCUCAACACUUCCUCGGUAUAAGCCUUCAGCUCGUGGUGUCACAAUGUUUCACCUUUCCCUUACAUUAGAAUCAGCACAAACAUGCACAGUUCGCUAAAACAGCGCACAAGAGGAUGUGGAACUUUGUGGGGAGAAGCAUCCUGGAUUUGGAGAUCUGUGGCACCAGCCACGGAGAUGUCCUCAUCAGCCUCGGUGCCCUCAGACCCGUGCAAAGGAAGUUGCUGGAUAAUGAAACCGGUGCAGACUUCCAGACAGGUGCCCUGAGCCGGGCAAAUCUUUCUUGUCCAAUAUUCCCCAUUUCUUAAUGUCUGUUCUGGAGGAGUGAGAUCUCAUGUGUUCUCUUUGAAGAAACAAGCAGACAAUAGAAGAAAAGCCCCAUUCAAAUGAAUUUCUGGAGCCAGGGAGAUGUUCAUGGCACAUGCCAUAAUUCAGAGAAAAUCCUAGAUCGAACCCAUCCCAGCACCCAGAAGAAAUCAACUUCCACUGUGUCCUCAGAAAGGAGGACGCCUUCAGAGUGGCCAGAGGGGUGGCAUUGCUCUUGUGUAUGUCACCGUUGUCCAGGAACGGCUUAACCAGUCCUGGUUCACCAACUUUGCUUUCUUUCCUCAUUCGCAAUCCAAAGCAUUUAAAACCUCCCACAAAAUGUUUUCCACUCAUGCUUUUCAGGGAGAGCCCGGAAGCAACCCAUGCACCCACAGAAUUUUUUAGAAUGUGACAUGUGUUUCCCCCCAACCCCGCAUUGGACAAUUCUCCUGUCUCCUCUUCAAGGAAGAAACAAAUGCUAAAGUGCCCGUGCUGGGCACCUACAGAACGGCAGGAAUCCACGUCUGCCUCUGGGUUUGGGAGAUGGGGUAAUAGAUUGUGUUCAUUCUGACAGAGGCACUUGGAAAAAAAAAAAUCAGUAAGAUUGAUUCCUGAGCUGUACAGUUUAUAGGCGCCUAUCAGUGUUCUUGGAUGGCAGGCAAAGUGUGUGUCGCUUUAUAUGGGAUUUUGUGGGCAUGAGGUACCCGAGGAACAGCGGCAACAGCAGCCACAGGAGUGUGAGCCCACCGCGUUCCUGGAUGCAGGGGCAACGUGCUGGAACACCCUGCAAACACCAAGCAAAUAAAGAUCGGAAAACUGGGUGCUUUAGCUUCUUAGACUAGAGGACACAAAUCUCUGAAGGGAAAAUGUCGGAUGUGCUGGACCGCACCAGAGAAAAGGGAAAGAAAGUGAACAAAUACGGCAAAUGAACUCUUCACGGGAGCGUGGCAAAGUCAGGUCACCGUUUGCACAUGUUGAGGGCAGAAUCCUCCGCAAAAAAGCAGAGGCUGGCCUGGUGCACUGUUGUGCUUUCCUUUGUUUUUCGUGACCACGCAUGUUGGGAUCUUGCGUGGCAUGUUCUGUGGCUGCUAAGAGUUAGCUGAAACGAAGAAGAAGUUAUUCGCCAAGGCUGCCAAAGUGAAGUGGCCUUUCCUUCCCACAGGGGCUGGGUUUUUUCUUCCGUUUCUGUUAGUGUUCCAGUGACUUGGAAUUCAAAGAAUGCAUGCGCACCUUUGGUAGACAUAAGACUCUUCGUAGGGGUCCUGAGAACUCUUGAGUUGUGAGUUAAAAUGACAGACAUGAUAUAUAUCCCACCUCUUACUGUUGCUGAGACCUUGAUUCAGAUAAGUAGACAUAAGGAGCCUCAGUCUCCUCUUUCAAUUGAGGACACAACUUUCUUCCUGGGUUUUUGGAGCAUAGUAGAGAUUAAGCACCUGGGCCACACCUGGUUCACACUCAGGACUCAGUCACUGUUAGUUGUAUUCAUAUUUCCAUCGGUGUCGGCAUAUCCAGCUUUUAGACAAAUGUGAUUUAAGAGUCUUUCAUUUAUGUGUUCAUUUACUCAUUCAGCAAAUGUUUAUUGAAGACCUGCUAUGUGCCAGGGACUAUUGCAAGGCACUAGGGUUAUAAGGGGAAACAUAAGAGGUCAGGUCCCUGCUUUCAUGGACAGAUGGACAUUACUCAGCUAAACAAAGAAAUAAGAUAAUUUCAGAUACAGAGAAAAUCAGACAGAGUGACAGAGUAAUAUGAAUAUUCUGUGCCUGUAAUAUUAAUAUUCUGUGCCUGGAAGGAGGAACCAGCUAAACAGGGUGGCCGGCAAAGGACACAGUGAGGUGCUGACACUCAUACUGGGAAACAAGGAUUGGGCAGCCAGUAAAAAGAAGAGUCAGGGUGUUCUAGAAUAGGGCUGACAAAUAAAAUACAGGCAUCCAGUUAAAAUUGAGUUUCACAUAAACAACACUUUCAGUAUAAGUAUGUCCCAAAUAUUGCAUAGGAUAUAUUUCUUCCAAAAACUUUACUAAUUCUGUACCUGAAACUCAGAUUUAACUAUGCAUCCUGUAGUUUUAUUUGCUAACUCUGGCAAGCCUAUUGUCAGGUAGGGGUGGACACUAAAGACAAAAUCACUUAAGUAGGAAAGAGCCUGGCUCUCUGGGGAGCAGAAAGAAGGUCGAAGUGUCCAAGGGCUGGGAGAUGUGGUUUCUGAAAGACAAGCAGGGUCCCAACAUAAAGGCUUUGGAGUCUAUGGGGAGGGGCGUGGGCAAAUCAAACACAAUGACUUGUGUGUUCAAUUUAUGGAAUUACCUGGACCACGAGUGUUAGAAGAACUGCCACCAGAGAUUGGCCAACUAAGCCAUGCCACCUGUUGUUGUAAAUAAAUUUUUAUUGGACAGACCUCAGUCUCAUUCAUCUGUUUAUGUAAUAUUUACGGUUGCUUUCCCAAUACAAUGGCAAAAUGGAACAGUUGCAACAGAGAUCAUAAAUUCCACAAAACCUAAUAU